UAACGGCGAGUGAAGCGGCAACAGCUCAAAUUUGAAAUCUUGGCCCUAGGCCCGAGUUGUAAUUUGCAGAGGAUGUUUCUGGCGAGGUGCCUUCCGAGUUCCCUGGAACGGGACGCCAUAGAGGGUGAGAGCCCCGUACGGUUGGUCGCUAAGCCUCUGUGAAACUCCUUCGACGAGUCGAGUAGUUUGGGAAUGCUGCUCUAAAUGGGAGGUAUACGUCUUCUAAAGCUAAAUACCGGCCAGAGACCGAUAGCGCACAAGUAGAGUGAUCGAAAGAUGAAAAGCACUUUGAAAAGAGGGUUAAAUAGUACGUGAAAUUGUUGAAAGGGAAGCGCUUAUGACCAGACUUGGACCGGUUGAUCAUCCAUCGUUCUCGGUGGUGCACUCUGCCGGUUCAGGCCAGCAUCAGUUUGUCCCGGGGGAUAAAGGCUUUGGGAAUGUGGCUCCUCCGGGAGUGUUAUAGCCCACUGUGUAAUACCCUGGGAUAGACUGAGUUCGCGCUCCGCAAGGAUGCUGGCGUAAUGGUCAUCAGUGACCCGUCUUGAAACACGGACCAAGGAGUCGUCUUCGUAUGCGAGUGUUCGGGUGUCAAACCCCUACGCGUAAUGAAAGUGAACGUAGGAGAGAGCUUCGGCGCAUCUCCGACCGAUCCUGAUGUUCUCGGAUGGAUUUGAGUAAGAGCAUACGGGGCCGGACCCGAAAGAAGGUGAACUAUGCUUGUAUAGGGUGAAGCCAGAGGAAACUCUGGUGGAGGCUCGCAGCGGUUCUGACGUGCAAAUCGAUCGUCAAAUAUGAGCAUGGGGG
Molecule: ribosomal RNA, 804 nt
Filed under: Verruciconidia persicina
Lineage: Eukaryota; Fungi; Ascomycota; Sordariomycetes; Hypocreales; Bionectriaceae
Description: eukaryotic LSU rRNA
Rfam family: Eukaryotic large subunit ribosomal RNA
Source: RNAcentral